Molecule: long non-coding RNA, 707 nt
Filed under: Homo sapiens (human)
Lineage: Eukaryota; Metazoa; Chordata; Mammalia; Primates; Hominidae
Description: non-protein coding lnc-ALG14-6:1
Source: RNAcentral
UCUUAAUAGUCUCAGCAUACAAUUUUUUUCUUGCCUUAUUAAAUUGAGAAAUUUUGUCUUUUUAUUAAAAGGAAGCACUUUAUGGCUUCUCUGUGCUAUCUGAAUAGCCAGCAUCACUAAUCUUGUGCUUUGGAUAGCAUAAGAUUUCAUCAUGCUAGUUAUAAGGGUGUACAAUUAAAAACUUAUGAAUUGUCUAUUCCUGUAAACAAUGCAAGUUAUUUUUUCAAUCUACCUCUUAAAUUUGCUUAUUCACUAGUUCCUUUCCUUUAACAAAGUAAGGCAAAAGUUGUAUUCAUUGCUCCUAGUUAUAUUUAAUUGGCAAGCACUUACUGACAAAACCACUCCUCACUGCAGAGGAGGAUAAGAAAUGUAGUUGCCAGCUGAGUGAACACGUGACCAGCAAGAAGGGGAGAACAGUUUUCUGGGGACAACUAUUAAUCUGCCACAAGCCUAAUGUUGAUGAAAGAUGAACAGGAUAUUAAAUAAGUCAUGGAAAUGCUGAAAAGAAACCAGGUUAAGAGGCAUAGCUAGAGCUGUCUCUCUACUGUUGUAACGUGUUAUUGGUUAUUUGCACAAAAAUUCCAAGAGAAAAUAAUAAUAACCUUUAAGUAGCAUAUCCGUAAUUUUCAUUUUGCUGUCUCCUCCUUCUUACUGUAAAACGUGUGUUGUUAAAUACAUUCCCUUAAGCAACAUCACUAUAUUCCUGA